UGAGGUUGUGGCUCAGUGGUAGAGUGCUUGCCUAGCAUGCAUGAGGCACUGGGUUCAAUCCUCAGCACCACAA
RNAcentral lists this transfer RNA (73 nucleotides) under Marmota monax (woodchuck). RNAcentral's name for it is "tRNA.Ala". It matches the Rfam family "tRNA". From Rfam's summary of the family: Transfer RNA (tRNA) molecules are approximately 80 nucleotides in length. Their secondary structure includes four short double-helical elements and three loops (D, anti-codon, and T loops). Further hydrogen bonds mediate the characteristic L-shaped molecular structure. tRNAs have two regions of fundamental functional importance: the anti-codon, which is responsible for specific mRNA codon recognition, and the 3' end, to which the tRNAs corresponding amino acid is attached (by aminoacyl-tRNA synthetases). tRNAs cope with the degeneracy of the genetic code in two manners: having more than one tRNA (with a specific anti-codon) for a particular amino acid; and 'wobble' base-pairing, i.e. permitting non-standard base-pairing at the 3rd anti-codon position. Lineage: Eukaryota; Metazoa; Chordata; Mammalia; Rodentia; Sciuridae. The record is from RNAcentral.